ACUAGAUGACCCGCCCCCUCGGGCUGUCGGGGGGUCGAGACAGUGGAGUGUUCCUGAUGCCAGCUCACGGAGGGAAUCCAGGGAAUUAGCUGAUGCCAAGAGCCUCUUUUUGGCCAGCACUUACUAAGCACCAGAGACACAGCGAGAAGCAGAAGCAUACGAGCACAUCAGUGUGAUUCUGCUGUGAUGAAGGGCAAGAGAGGGCUCACUUUCCGGCGUGACAUUCAAGCUAGCCCCGAGGCCUGAGCAGGACCCGCCCAGGGGAAGAUCUGGAGGAAAGCCAUCUGAACAUACAACAAGAGCAAAGGCCUGGUGGAGUCAAGACCACCUUGGCUGCCAGGUGGAAUGGUGGAAUAACUCAGGAGUCUGUCAGGUCUCUGAGAUGUCAAACGGGCUUGGCACACACCCAGGAGCUCAAUGCUGCUGGGAGCUGAGCAGCUGGGAGCAAGGAGCCCUCAUCCCCACUGAUGAAGAGGCCAGCCCAGGUUCUAGGCUAAGCAGGCCUGUGAUUAUAAACAGCAGUGUCUCCCUGGACAAGUUUCUUGACCCUGAGAAGAAUGUUAGACCAUCAACUUUGUGAGGGGACAGGCAG
RNAcentral lists this long non-coding RNA (592 nucleotides) under Homo sapiens (human). Its description in RNAcentral is "non-protein coding PRKAR2A-AS1:17". The record is from RNAcentral. Lineage: Eukaryota; Metazoa; Chordata; Mammalia; Primates; Hominidae.